Long non-coding RNA from Hibiscus syriacus, 269 nucleotides. RefSeq lists it as uncharacterized. The transcript has 4 exons. Lineage: Eukaryota; Viridiplantae; Streptophyta; Magnoliopsida; Malvales; Malvaceae. The record is from RefSeq and is a predicted model, not a curated record.
CAAGCUCGUGAAAAGUUUCUUUCACUGAGAAAAAGUACAAAGAGUAAUAUUGCCAAUGUUUUGGAAGAGGAACUUCAUAAUGCAAGGUCAACAUUUGAGCAAGCUCGUUUUAAUCUAGUAACUGCUCUUUCAAAUGUUGAAGCCAAAAAACGAUUUGAGUUUUUGGAAGCUGUCAGUGGGACUAUGGAUGUGCAUCUUCGAUACUUCAAACAGGGCUAUUAAUUAUUGCAUCAAAUGGAGCCAUACAUUAAUCAGGUUUGUUAUCAUAA